This 520-nucleotide ribosomal RNA is filed under the name uncultured Glomus. RNAcentral's name for it is "SSU rRNA". It matches the Rfam family "Eukaryotic small subunit ribosomal RNA", at positions 569 to 1090 of the family's 1831-position model. Lineage: Eukaryota; Fungi; Glomeromycota; Glomeromycetes; Glomerales; Glomeraceae. The record is from RNAcentral.
AGCAGCCGCGGUAAUUCCAGCUCCAAUAGCGUAUAUUAAAGUUGUUGCAGUUAAAAAGCUCGUAGUUGAAUUUCGGGGUUAGUAGGUUGGUCAUGCCUCUGGUAUGUACUGGUCUCACUGAUUCCUCCUUCCUGAUGAACCUUAAUGCCAUUAAUUUGGUGUUUUGGGGAAUUUGGACUAUUACUUUGAAAAAAUUAGAGUGUUUAAGGCAAGCUAACGCUUGAAUACAUUAGCAUGGAAUAAUGAAAUAGGACGUUCGAUCCUAUUUUGUUGGUUUCUAGGAUUGACGUAAUGAUUAAUAGGGAUAGUUGGGGGCAUUAGUAUUCAAUUGUCAGAGGUGAAAUUCUUGGAUUUAUUGAAGACUAACUACUGCGAAAGCAUUUGCCAAGGAUGUUUUCAUUAAUCAAGAACGAAAGUUAGGGGAUCGAAGACGAUCAGAUACCGUCGUAGUCUUAACCAUAAACUAUGCCGACUAGGGAUCGGAUGAUGUUAAUUUUUUAAUGACUCAUUCGGCGCCUUA